CAGCCGCCACGGUAAUACGUAGGGCGCAAGCGUUGUCCGGAAUUAUUGGGCGUAAAGAGCUCGUAGGCGGUCUGUCGCGUCUGGUGUGAAAUCCCGAGGCUCAACCUCGGGCUUGCAUCGGGUACGGGCAGACUAGAGUGCGGUAGGGGAGACUGGAAUUCCUGGUGUAGCGGUGGAAUGCGCAGAUAUCAGGAGGAACACCGAUGGCGAAGGCAGGUCUCUGGGCCGCAACUGACGCUGAGGAGCGAAAGCAUGGGGAGCGAACAGGAUUAGAUACCCCAGUAGUCCCUGUCUCUUAUAC
RNAcentral lists this ribosomal RNA (301 nucleotides) under uncultured bacterium. Its description in RNAcentral is "partial 16S ribosomal RNA". It matches the Rfam family "Bacterial small subunit ribosomal RNA", at positions 509 to 807 of the family's 1533-position model. The record is from RNAcentral.